UACUCAAAUCAGAAUGUUUGACCAAAAUUGUCCUCUCCAUUACUAUCUUCUAAGUGAAGAAUUGAACCAUCGAAUCGAACGAGAAAGUUGAUUGAAAAUAGAAGAACUAAUGGCGAUGAUGUAAGAACAAGAAGAUUCGAUCCAUCAACUACCGAACGCGAUCACGAUAAGUUCAUUCGGCCACUAAGUAUCAUCUUAGGAUUGAAAUAAGAAAAGUAUGAGUGGGAACAGAUGUUCAAAAAUUGUAGAACUAUAAUUUUUUUGUUCAUUACAACGAUAUUAAGAUGUUAACCACAUUGCAACUGCGAGGGUUGUGUAGGAGAGUGAGAUAGUGUGCGCGGGAAACGGCGGAGAAACCAUGCGCAACCGAAGAUGAAGUACUCAUUAUACUAGAAAAUCUUCCAAAUCAUCUUAUUUCUGUUUUUCAUUUUGUUUAGAGUUCUGCAGGCAUGAUGCGCACCGAUAGCGGUCGAGGAAGCUCAUCGAGGCAACCGGAAGGUGCAGAGAUUGUUUAUUCGAAAGAAAAUGUAACGAUUCAGCCUACGUAGUUUGCGUCUGAAAGGAUUCGUGGAAGAUUGAGGUUGAUCAAGCGAGAAUCGUCUCUGUUCAUUACCUGGAUUCCUUACGAAGGACAAAACUCAAAUGCGAAAUUAUCGGUGAGAGAGAAUUCGAAUACGGAAAGGUUAUGCAUCUAUGGGAGGUGUUGUGGACUCAUUAUCUGUCUGAGCACCUGCAUCUAUACAUUUGUGUUACGAUCUUGAAGCGCUACCGUAACAAAAUAAUGGAGGAGCAGAUGGACUUCGACACGCUCUUGAAGUUUAUCAAUGAGUUGAAUGGUCACAUUGACCUUGACGCUGCCAUCAGGGAUGCAGAAGCUUUAUUGUGCGUGUGCAGGGGAGAAUGUUGCUGCUAACAUCCCUCCUGGUACCCCAUCCUCAUUACCACUGG
Cucurbita moschata (crookneck pumpkin) is the source of this 948-nucleotide long non-coding RNA. RefSeq lists it as uncharacterized. The record is from RefSeq and is a predicted model, not a curated record. Lineage: Eukaryota; Viridiplantae; Streptophyta; Magnoliopsida; Cucurbitales; Cucurbitaceae. The transcript is spliced from 3 exons.